GAUGAACGCUAGCGACAGGCCUAACACAUGCAAGUCGAGGGGCAGCACAUGAGUAGCAAUACGAUGGUGGCGACCGGCGCACGGGUGAGUAACACGUAUGCAACCUGCCUGUAAGAGGGGGAUAACCCGGAGAAAUUCGGACUAAUACCGCAUAAUACCACGAGACUGCAUGGUUUUGUGGUUAAACAUUUAUGGCUUACAGAUGGGCAUGCGUAUGAUUAGAUAGUUGGUAGGGUAACGGCCUACCAAGUCUACGAUCAUUAGGGGUUCUGAGAGGAAGGUCCCCCACCACUGGUACUGAGACACGGACCGAGACUCCUACCGGGAGGCGAGCAGUGAGGAAGUAAUUGGUCAAUGGGCGAGAGCCUGAACCAGCCAAGUCGCGUGAAGGAAGAAGGUUCUAUGGAUUGUAAACUUCUUUUGUCAGGGGAAUAAAGGACGGUACGUGUACUGUUUUGUAUGUACUUGCGAAUAAGAUCGGCUAACUCCGUGCCAGCAGCCGAC
Molecule: ribosomal RNA, 504 nt
Filed under: uncultured bacterium
Lineage: Bacteria
Description: bacterial SSU rRNA
Rfam family: Bacterial small subunit ribosomal RNA
Source: RNAcentral